UUAAUUGAAGCCAAAAAGAGGCACUUCACUGUUAAUGAAAUCAUUGAAAAUUUAUUUUCCAAUUAAA
Molecule: transfer RNA, 67 nt
Filed under: Chromatomyia horticola (garden pea leafminer)
Lineage: Eukaryota; Metazoa; Arthropoda; Insecta; Diptera; Agromyzidae
Description: tRNA-Asn
Source: RNAcentral